RNAcentral lists this long non-coding RNA (2642 nucleotides) under Chinchilla lanigera (long-tailed chinchilla). Its description in RNAcentral is "lncRNA (ENSCLAG00000026157.1)". Lineage: Eukaryota; Metazoa; Chordata; Mammalia; Rodentia; Chinchillidae. The record is from RNAcentral.
UCUAGUUUCCUCGCCUAGGAAGCAGUGAUAACAGGAUUGCUGUGAGUACCAAAUAAACCAAGGAACCCUAAAGGGCCUGGGACUACCUGAGGUAGCCCAGACAGAAGGGCUUCCCACUAGCCAUGCUCCUGGGGGCCUUCCCAGGGCCUCAAGGCCUCUCUGGUCGGAGUCAUGGGGAGAGUAAAAGAUGAUGCAUGAAUAACAGAUGUCACAUGCUGGCUGGAGGGCCACAGGCAAGGGUGUGUCACCCUGUUACGGCAGCAGAGGCAGGAGAGCACUCUGGAGCCCCCCACCCACCCACUGUGACAUCGGCAGCACAGAGCACUUGGAAGGCUCCCCAGUGCCUACAGGACAGAGCCCGGCUGGAUGCUCACAGGCAGGCAGGGCGAGAACCCAUCGGACAGAGCCAGUUCUCAGAGCCAGGGCAUCUUGUCCUCCUCGGGAAUCGUUCCCUCAAGCCCCUCUCAAACUGAAACAAACCCAGUGCCAUUCUACACAAGCUGCUUCUGUCCCCUCCACAUGGGUAGAUGACAGUGACCCAGAGUCCCAAAAUCGUCUGUCCAUGGGUCCUCCUCAUGGGGUAGCACUGUCAUCUUUACGCAUACAAAUGCCCUGCCCAAGGCCCACUAGCGCUUUCCAACACAGUGAAACCUGCCGCAUGUAGUGCAGCUCUUGAAAUUCCUGGGGAGGAUGAAGAAAUGAAGACAAGAGUCAGGAUGCAGAAAGCUGAGGUCAGGUGGAGCACCCCUCUCCUGAUGGGAGCAAGGACCACCCAACAACUGCAUCACAUCUACUUAUAUAGUCAGCAUAAGAGGCUGUUUACAGAAUUUUAAGGAGAGGGUAUGAUCUGAAACAGGAACAACAUCCACCCAACGAAACAGCAUGCCUUGGUGGUUAUACGGGAACAAGAGAGGAGUUGUCUAUAUAAUCUCAGAGGAAGGCCACAUCAUUCUGUGCACCAGCUCCCUGAGCUGUGUACACUGCUCAGGGGACCCUGCCAAACUCAGGAGAAGCAGGGACCUUGUUCGACCUGAGGUACAAACAGCUUCACCCCAGCUCAGCCUGCCUGUGAAAUCUGGAGCUCCUCAAGCACUGAGCUGCAACUGGCCACACCCCGUUUCUGCUGUUUCACACACUUCAGGCUUUGGCGGGGACUUGUCCUCCCUCCCAGAAUGCUCCAAGUACUACAUUGCCUCAUUGCAAGCCAACCCAGCAUCUACUUCUGAUCUAUCAUUUCUGCGGUUAUGUCCGUGGGCCACACUAGAGCAGAGGAUGGUAUGUCUGAAGUGACAUAGUAUAUGUAGCGUCCUGUACCAUGCCUACAACACUGCACAUGCUCAAUAAAGUGUGCCAGGAAGCCAGGUGUGGUGGUGCCGACCUGUAAUCCUAAUACUGAGGGAGGCAGAGGUGGGAGGGUCUCAAGUUCAAGUCCCACUUGGGUAAUUUAGACCCUUUCCCCCCGCAAAAAAAAAAAACUAAAAAAAAAAAAAAGGUCAGGGCUGUAGCUCAGUGGUAGAGUGCCUGGGGUUUUGAUUCCCAGGACCUAAAAAACAAAAACAAAACCAACUAUGCUGAGAACUAGGGAUACAAAAACAAAACAGCAUGCCUUGGUGGUUAUACGGGAACAAGAGAGGAGUUGUCUAUAUAAUCUCAGAGGAGAUUAUAUAGACAAGAGAUUAUACAGACAUUAUAAUCUCAGAGGAGAUUAUAUAGACAAGAGAUUAUAUAGACAUUAUAAUCUCAGAGGAGAUUAUAUAGACAAGAGAUUAUAUAGAGAUUAUAUAGCCUCUAUAUAUUAUAUAGAGAUUAUAUAGCCUCAGGGCUACGCAGGAAGAGCUGAAUCUUACCUCCCUCAGCGGCACAGUACCUGCCUGGCAGCACAAGGAUUUCCAGAACUAAAAAAAAAAUAAAAAAAUUUGAAAAACGAAAACAACAACGACAACAAAAAACCUAUGCUGAAAGAUGAAGGAGAACCACGGAGGAGAAACAAAGAUGCUGGAGCCCUGGAGACAAAUGUUGACAGGGGAUGGCGGCAGAGGAAGUUUCCUGAGGCUUCCUUAUAUGUCAGGGUGGAGCGAUGGCCUUCCGCGCACCAUGAGCGCAUGGAGCAUAGCGUGGGAACACUAGGCCCGGCGGCACUGCUGGGGCAGUAAGGGUCAGGAAAUGAUGAGAAAUAGGCUGGGAUGGGUCGCCAGCCCUGCCUCGUGGCCCUGAACUUUAACCUCUGGGCGACUGAGAGUCACAGAGAACACCCAGGCUGUGUAUCCAAGAGACCGGCAGUGUGCAAAGGGUGAGGCUGGAGUUGGGGGAUGCUGCAGCCAUCCAAGCAGCCACGGGCUGGGACGGGGACACAGGAGAGGAACAGGUUUGGGGGUGAAGAUGCUGUUUGGACUGGCUCUUGCCAAGUUUGCGGUGCUCCGAGCACAGUCUGGUGGAGGACGCCGCAUUGCUCUCUCCCUAGGACAGCAGAGCGAACUGCAAACGUGAAGGACUUCUGGGGAGGUGGCGCUCGGAAAGGGCCAGUGACACAUCCCGGCAAGGCUGGACUCGGAGGGGCUGUGGUGCCCGCGCUCGCGCUCGCUCGUGCGCUGCACUCCGGGGUGCGUGGCCAUCAGGAGGGCGAGGUCCCGCACGCUGGGUGG